UACGGAGGAUCCAAGCGUUAUCCGGAUUUAUUGGGUUUAAAGGGUGCGUAGGCGGCCUAUUAAGUCAGGGGUGAAAGACGGUAGCUUAACUAUCGCAGUGCCCUUGAUACUGAUGGGCUUGAAUAUACUUGAGGUAGGCGGAAUGUGACAAGUAGCGGUGAAAUGCAUAGAUAUGUCACAGAACACCAAUUGCGAAGGCAGCUUACGAAGGUAUGAUUGACGCUGAGGCACGAAAGCGUGGGGAUCAAACAGG
This 253-nucleotide ribosomal RNA is filed under the name uncultured bacterium. RNAcentral's name for it is "partial 16S ribosomal RNA". It matches the Rfam family "Bacterial small subunit ribosomal RNA", at positions 524 to 776 of the family's 1533-position model. The record is from RNAcentral.